AUUGCCGAGUGGUUCCGCUGCUAGGGAUCGACCAGACUCUCCUACUGGUCGGUGUGACCUUGACUCUGUGCCAGGUCUGAGGAUGCCCUCCGUCGUCACCCCUUAUAACGUGUUACCCGCGUUCGGACUACGUCGGUACGGCGCACAUACUUCUUCCGGAAGCCCAACAUUUCAUGAAAGUCGCCCCUCCUUCCACAACACCAAUUAUUGGCGUCGUUAACUGCAAUGGGCGUCUUCUUCGUGGCCGAUUGAGGCACGGCCGCCGCCGCCAUUAUGCCUCCCACGGUCGCCAGUUAGUUCUUAAUGACCGGCAUUUGACCCUCGCGUCCGUACGAGACUGCUUUAAGCUACUCGUUAAGGUCCCGAUUAUCGAACCUUUGACAAGACUUGUUGUCUGUUACCUUUCUAAUCCACUCUAGCUAUGACGAAUGAGACUUCAGUCAUAGCCGCAUCGAAUCGCUUAGUAGGCUAUCCUAUAUCCUCAGCUCUACUAAUCACGAAUACUUCCAUACACGAUCGUCUACUACUAGACUCUGUGUGAGAUCGUGCACAAUCGAGUACAUCACGACAUAUCUCGAUUCUUAUACGACGAGUAUAUCUUCUCAUCAUCUACUCUCCGUGCGACUAUCACAUGUAUUCAUCAUAUGCUGCUCACGCUCAGCUUAUAGUACGAUAGCACAUCAUACCCAUGUAGUCACUUGCUGACAAGAUGAUUCUCCAUCAUCACUCUUAACACAUAUCUGGUAGUCGUGUGCGCUUCCUUCUCUGAGACGCGAAUACGUGACAAUGAAAAAUAUAAAUAAUAUAUAACUACUUCUGAGUGGAAGGUACAUGUGGUGCCGCUGCCGUCUGUGUUUUAUAUAUACUUCCAAUACAUACGUAUAUCAGCUUACCUUGGCAGCGUCGCUCGACCGCCACACCGCAGGAUGGCGAUGUCGAUGAGUCGGUUAUUGUAAAUUUAUUGAUCCCAAGUCCGGCGGACAGAAACCUAUAUCUUGGUCCACGACUUCCCAUAAGAACUUGGAUAGAGAUGCCUUUCUGCCUUCGGGAACUGUGAGACAGGUGAUGCAUGGCUGUCGUCAGCUCAUGUUGUGAAAUGUAGGUUAAGUCCCGCAACGAGCGCAACCCUUAUCCUUUUUUGCCAGCGGUCCGGCCGGGAACUCAAAGGAGACUGCCAGUGAUAAACUGGAGGAAGGUGGGGAUGACGUCAAGUCAUCAUGGCCCUUACGACCAGGGCUACACACGUGCUACAAUGGCAUAUACAAAGAGAAGCGACCUCGCGAGAGCAAGCGGACCUCAUAAAGUAUGUCGUAGUCCGGAUUGGAGUCUGCAACUCGACUCCAUGAAGUCGGAAUCGCUAGUAAUCGUGGAUCAGAAUGCCACGGUGAAUACGUUCCCGGGCCUUGUACACACCGCCCGUCACACCAUGGGAGUGGGUGCAAAAGAAGUAGUAGCUAACUUCGGAGGGCGCUACCACUUUGAUCAGACGGUGAAAUCCCCUUAUUAUUGAUAGUAUUUUUUUCAUUAAGAGU
RNAcentral lists this ribosomal RNA (1532 nucleotides) under Citrobacter sp. PSB2. RNAcentral describes it as "partial 16S ribosomal RNA". The stretch from base 920 to 1400 matches the Rfam family "Bacterial small subunit ribosomal RNA", at positions 921 to 1377 of the family's 1533-position model. The record is from RNAcentral. Lineage: Bacteria; Pseudomonadati; Pseudomonadota; Gammaproteobacteria; Enterobacterales; Enterobacteriaceae.